CCUACGGGAGGCAGCAGUGGGGAAUAUUGGACAAUGGGGGGAACCCUGAUCCAGCGACGCCGCGUGAGUGAAGAAGUAUUUCGGUAUGUAAAGCUCUAUCAGCAGGGAAGAAAAUGACGGUACCUGACUAAGAAGCACCGGCUAACUACGUGCCAGCAGCCGCGGUAAUACGUAGGGGGCAAGCGUUAUCCGGAUUUACUGGGUGUAAAGGGAGCGUAGACGGUGCAGCAAGUCUGAUGUGAAAGGCCGGGGCCCAACCCCGGGACUGCAUUGGACACUGUUGAACUGGAGUACAGGAGAGGUAAGCGGAAUUCCUAGUGUAGCGGUGAAAUGCGUAGAUAUUAGGAGGAACACCAGUGGCGAAGGCGGCUUACUGGACUGUAACUGACGUUGAGGCUCGAAAGCGUGGGGAGCAAACAGGAUUAGAUACCCGAGUAGUC
This 440-nucleotide ribosomal RNA is filed under the name uncultured bacterium. RNAcentral describes it as "partial 16S ribosomal RNA". It matches the Rfam family "Bacterial small subunit ribosomal RNA", at positions 338 to 795 of the family's 1533-position model. The record is from RNAcentral.